RNAcentral lists this ribosomal RNA (446 nucleotides) under uncultured bacterium. Its description in RNAcentral is "bacterial SSU rRNA". It matches the Rfam family "Bacterial small subunit ribosomal RNA", at positions 29 to 520 of the family's 1533-position model. The record is from RNAcentral.
AACGAACGCUGGCGGCAGGCCUAACACAUGCAAGUCGAACGCCGUAGCAAUACGGAGUGGCAGACGGGUGAGUAACACGUGGGAACAUACCCUUCGGUUCGGAAUAACUCAGGGAAACUUGAGCUAAUACCGGAUACGUCCGCGAGGAGAAAGAUUCAUCGCCGGAGGAUUGGCCCGCGUCUGAUUAGCUUGUUGGUGAGGUAACGGCUCACCAAGGCGACGAUCAGUAGCNGGUCUGAGAGGAUGAUCAGCCACAUUGGGACUGAGACACGGCCCAAACUCCUACGGGAGGCAGCAGUGGGGAAUAUUGGACAAUGGGCGCAAGCCUGAUCCAGCCAUGCCGCGUGAGUGAUGAAGGCCCUAGGGUUGUAAAGCUCUUUUACCCGGGAAGAUAAUGACUGUACCGGGAGAAUAAGCCCCGGCUAACUUCGUGCCAGCAGCCGCCG